AUUGAACGCUGGCGGCAGGCCUAACACAUGCAAGUCGAGCGGAUGAAGGGAGCUUGCUCCUGGAUUCAGCGGCGGACGGGUGAGUAAUGCCUAGGAAUCUGCCUUGUAGUGGGGGAUAACGUCCGGAAACGGGCGCUAAUACCGCAUACGUCCUGAGGGAGAAAGUGGGGGAGCUUCGGACCUCACGCCAUCAGAUGAGCCUAGGUCGGAUUCGCUAGUUGGUGGGGUAAAGGCCUACCCAGGCGGCGAUCCGUAACUGGUCUGAGAGGAUGGCCCGUCACACUGGCACUGAGGCACGGUCCCGACUCCUACGGGAGGCAGCAGUGGGGAAUCUUGGACGAUGGGCCAAAGCCUGAUCCAGCCAUGCCGCGUGUGUGAAGAAGGUCUUCGGAUUGUAAAGCACUUUAAGUUGGGGGGAAGGGCAGUAAGUUAAUACCUUGCUGUUUUGACGUUACCAACAGAAUAAGCACCGGCUAACUUCGUG
Molecule: ribosomal RNA, 484 nt
Filed under: uncultured bacterium
Lineage: Bacteria
Description: partial 16S ribosomal RNA
Rfam family: Bacterial small subunit ribosomal RNA
Source: RNAcentral